GGCCGAGUAGCUCAGUUGGUUAGAGCAGCGGAAUCAUAAUCCGCGUGUCGGGGGUUCGAGUCCCUCCUCGGCUACCA
RNAcentral lists this transfer RNA (77 nucleotides) under Kordiimonas sp. SCSIO 12603. Its description in RNAcentral is "tRNA-Met". It matches the Rfam family "tRNA". From Rfam's summary of the family: Transfer RNA (tRNA) molecules are approximately 80 nucleotides in length. Their secondary structure includes four short double-helical elements and three loops (D, anti-codon, and T loops). Further hydrogen bonds mediate the characteristic L-shaped molecular structure. tRNAs have two regions of fundamental functional importance: the anti-codon, which is responsible for specific mRNA codon recognition, and the 3' end, to which the tRNAs corresponding amino acid is attached (by aminoacyl-tRNA synthetases). tRNAs cope with the degeneracy of the genetic code in two manners: having more than one tRNA (with a specific anti-codon) for a particular amino acid; and 'wobble' base-pairing, i.e. permitting non-standard base-pairing at the 3rd anti-codon position. Lineage: Bacteria; Pseudomonadati; Pseudomonadota; Alphaproteobacteria; Kordiimonadales; Kordiimonadaceae. The record is from RNAcentral. RNAcentral also lists the same sequence under 1 other name.